CCGAAAGUCAGUGUGUAUGUGUUUUGAUGAGAUGCAGAUGAUGUAUGCUGAUGCUUCUAACUUGGAGAGGACACCAGGAUGCAGGAUCAAGGACCUUUAUGGUUCAGUGUGUAAGUGAGUGGUAAGACGGAGAAUUUGGGUACCAAUGAAAUGGAUCGGCA
This is a long non-coding RNA of Drosophila rhopaloa, 161 nucleotides long. RefSeq lists it as uncharacterized. The record is from RefSeq and is a predicted model, not a curated record. Lineage: Eukaryota; Metazoa; Arthropoda; Insecta; Diptera; Drosophilidae. The transcript has 2 exons.